UACGAAGGGGGCUAGCGUUGCUCGGAAUCACUGGGCGUAAAGCGCACGUAGGCGGAUUGUUAAGUCAGGGGUGAAAUCCUGGAGCUCAACUCCAGAACUGCCUUUGAUACUGGCGAUCUCGAGUCCGGGAGAGGUGAGUGGAACUGCGAGUGUAGAGGUGAAAUUCGUAGAUAUUCGCAAGAACACCAGUGGCGAAGGCGGCUCACUGGUCCAUUACUGACGCUGAGGUGCGAAAGCGUGGGGAGCAAACAGG
Molecule: ribosomal RNA, 253 nt
Filed under: uncultured bacterium
Lineage: Bacteria
Description: partial 16S ribosomal RNA
Rfam family: Bacterial small subunit ribosomal RNA
Source: RNAcentral